RNAcentral lists this ribosomal RNA (467 nucleotides) under uncultured bacterium. RNAcentral describes it as "partial 16S ribosomal RNA". It matches the Rfam family "Bacterial small subunit ribosomal RNA", at positions 28 to 506 of the family's 1533-position model. The record is from RNAcentral.
GACGAACGCUGGCGGCGUGCUUAACACAUGCAAGUCGAACGGAAAGGCCCUGCUUUUGUGGGGUGCUCGAGUGGCGAACGGGUGAGUAACACGUGAGUAACCUGCCCUUGACUUUGGGAUAACUUCAGGAAACUGGGGCUAAUACCGGAUAGGAGCUCCUGCUGCAUGGUGGGGGUUGGAAAGUUUCGGCGGUUGGGGAUGGACUCGCGGCUUAUCAGCUUGUUGGUGGGGUAGUGGCUUACCAAGGCUUUGACGGGUAGCCGGCCUGGGAGGGUGACCGGCCACAUUGGGACUGGGAUACGGCCCAGACUCCUACGGGAGGCAGGAGUGGGGAAUAUUGCACAAUGGGCGGAAGCCGGAUGCAGCAACGCCGCGUGCGGGAUGACGGCCUUCGGGUUGUAAACCGCUUUCGCCUGUGACGAAGCGUGAGUGACGGUAAUGGGUAAAGAAGCACCGGCUAACUACGU